UUCUCUGCUUCCAAGAGAACUCCUGUCUGCUCCUAAUGGCUGUACUGAUUAUCCCGUCCAGAUUCCUGCUCCGUGUUUUUUCCCCAACCCUUUCCCCUUUUCAAUAAACUUCAUUAUUGUUUUUGCA
Molecule: long non-coding RNA, 127 nt
Organism: Poecilia latipinna (sailfin molly)
Lineage: Eukaryota; Metazoa; Chordata; Actinopteri; Cyprinodontiformes; Poeciliidae
Exons: 2
Source: RefSeq, a predicted model, not a curated record